CCCGCGGUAGUUUACUGGUUGUGAAUCCUCGGCUUUCAACCGAGAGGUCGGAGUUCAAUCCUCCGUCGCGGGACCA
RNAcentral lists this transfer RNA (76 nucleotides) under Richelia sp. RM2_1_2. RNAcentral's name for it is "tRNA-Glu". It matches the Rfam family "tRNA". From Rfam's summary of the family: Transfer RNA (tRNA) molecules are approximately 80 nucleotides in length. The record is from RNAcentral. Lineage: Bacteria; Bacillati; Cyanobacteriota; Cyanophyceae; Nostocales; Nostocaceae.